CCGGUCGCCCCCGAGGUUGGCCCCAGCCAGUCGCCCACCCUUGCCGUCAUCCUCGGUCGGCUGGGAGGGAGUUUCCCCUGUCCACAUCUCGAUCUGUUGGAGGUCCACCUAUGAUGAACUCCCCGCCCCGGAUCUGCCCAAUCUGACAUGCGACUCCGUCCAGAUGGCUGUAGAGGGCGAUUGUCGACUGAACCAAAUCCUGGUAUCUACACAUAGGCAGCAAUACAUUUAGGUGAUAGAUUCCGAGUAAGAGAUCAGGCAAUAACAUAGUCCAUGACAUUGUUGCAGCUGCUCGUGUCCAUCCCUAUCUCAGAUGCUUUGAUCUGAACUUGUAUAAACCCCAAGAUGAAUUAUCUGUUAUAGCUACUGGAAGUAGGUGUGAUAUUGACCUAUAUGAGCAACUGUAAACUUUUGAUCAAAUUUCUGAAGAUGCUUGUAUUUUGAUGUUGAAUUCUAGCUAUGUAUGUACUGAAUGAACUUUCAAAGCUCAGUGUGAUAUUUGUAAUAAUUGUUGACAGAUCAAUUUUCAAGCUCCAUUUGUAAUAA
Long non-coding RNA from Sorghum bicolor (sorghum), 546 nucleotides. RefSeq lists it as uncharacterized. NCBI's taxonomy places the organism in Eukaryota, Viridiplantae, Streptophyta, Magnoliopsida, Poales, Poaceae. The record is from RefSeq and is a predicted model, not a curated record. The transcript is spliced from 4 exons.